CUGCUUGUGAGAAGGAGCGAGAAGC
This 25-nucleotide non-coding RNA is filed under the name Cricetulus griseus (Chinese hamster). Lineage: Eukaryota; Metazoa; Chordata; Mammalia; Rodentia; Cricetidae. The record is from RNAcentral.